UAACUCUCCUUGACUCUAAGUUGUUCUCAUUUAUGCCCCAAGGCCUUCAAAUCAACAGUAAUCUUUCACCUGGUCAUGCGGGUCCAUCAAUCCAUGCUAUGGAAGAAAUUUCUAAGAAUAGGUCUGAAGAUGAUUAUCAUACUGGUCUCAAUGAGAAGAACUACCUCAACUCUGAAGAAGGCUAGCCCAAGAGUGAACAAAGCACGAGAGAAAUUCCUCUAAAUUGUUAAUCAUUUGGCUAUUUCUAGCAUUUCAUUUGUAUUUUCUUUUCAUGUUAAGUACUUA
This 285-nucleotide long non-coding RNA is filed under the name Lathyrus oleraceus (garden pea). RNAcentral's name for it is "Pisum sativum (pea) long non-coding RNA (PSAT_LNC022973)". Lineage: Eukaryota; Viridiplantae; Streptophyta; Magnoliopsida; Fabales; Fabaceae. The record is from RNAcentral.